CCGGCCUCGGGGUGCUCGGCGGGGCGCCGGCGGCGAGGGGAGCCGAGCAGGAGCCGUCUCGGUCCCGGUGCGGCCGCGGGCAGCGCGGAGCUUGCCCCGCCGCGCCCUGCCCCGCCGUGUGUCCCUGCUGCGGGCGGGCGGCGCGGCGUGCCCGGGGACUGCGGCGCGGGCUCUCCGGUCCUGAAAGACCUUUCCUCCUUGUAUGUGAGGAAGAAAAUUGAAGUCCUCCUUCAGUGAGCUGGAGUUUCCAUUUUUUUACGUUCCUUCUUCAUUCUCUAGCUGUGACUGGAAAACCAUAUCAACCUGUUGCAAGAUCAGAGAACACACAUAUUACACACCCUGGAGCUGAGGCACAGAAGCUGAAAGACUCAUUCAGUGCUGCAUAAGAAAUGUUUGACUGCAGAUCAAGAUCCAUUGUUGAGGAGACAGUCUGGUGUGGAGAUUGCCUCUUCUUACUCAGCUGACCCAGCUCCUGGUCACCAAGCUGCAGAGAGAUUCAGUGGUGUUUCUGUGGUUAAACAAGUAGCCUGCAAAGAAGAAGGCUCGUAUGUCUUAUCUUGCAUGAAGGAGCACACCCUUAGGACAAAAUUGAGUUCCCAGCUUCUGUCAAAAUUUGUGUCUUUGCUUGAGUUUGAGUGA
Molecule: long non-coding RNA, 639 nt
Filed under: Lonchura striata (white-rumped munia)
Lineage: Eukaryota; Metazoa; Chordata; Aves; Passeriformes; Estrildidae
Description: domestica (Bengalese finch) lncRNA (ENSLSDG00000009338.1)
Source: RNAcentral